Molecule: ribosomal RNA, 591 nt
Filed under: Triticum aestivum (bread wheat)
Lineage: Eukaryota; Viridiplantae; Streptophyta; Magnoliopsida; Poales; Poaceae
Description: partial small subunit ribosomal RNA
Source: RNAcentral
AUGGGAUUCUACAGUCUAAAUAAAUCCCUCCAUCACGAUAUCGCCAAGUACCAGUCCUGGUUCUUCUGGGCGGGGAAGGGUGAUAAGCAGAAGUACCAUAUGGUGAAAUGGUCGAAGAUUUGCAAACCCAAGGACCAAGAGGGCCUUGGCAUUAUCUCGUCCAAACGAAUGAACAUAGCCCUUUUAUCCAAAUAGCUAUGGCGGAUCACCUCAGGGGAGGGUGGGCUUGGCUGGAUAUUAUCCGCGCUAAAUAUUUGCGUGGUCAGGGCUUGGCGUUUGCACGGAGAUUGGGUGGCUCCUAGUUCUGGCAGACGAGCAUCCAACUCAUGCCAGCCCUUCGCCUCGGUUCUUCUAUUUCGAUCGGAGACGGUACCACCAUCCAACUCAAACCACAUUUUCUUUGCAUGCCCCUCUGCGAGAUUUUUAUGGAGCUGCCUUCGUGAGGUGGUGGGUGGCAGUUGGUGCCAUGCUAACCCGCCGGACAUGUUUGCGGAGGUUCUCGCAUUUCCCGAUACAGGGCAUCCCUCCCUCUGGGUGUUGGUUGGGACGCUGAUGUGGACAUUAUGGAAUCAUUCCUCUGCGAGUGGCUGA